Zea mays is the source of this 2333-nucleotide long non-coding RNA. RefSeq lists it as uncharacterized. Lineage: Eukaryota; Viridiplantae; Streptophyta; Magnoliopsida; Poales; Poaceae. The record is from RefSeq and is a predicted model, not a curated record. The transcript has 3 exons.
CAUAUAGUUCUUAUGGUUUGCACUAUUGUCUCAGGUGGCCGGUCCAUGUUCCAGUUAACAAAAUGAUUUAACAUGUAUCAUGAUAAAACCAACAAUAACAAUUCAUAUUAGAACAUGAACAUAAAUCAUAAGUAACAUUAACCCAAAAACCAGGUAGAGUAAUAGCAAAACUACCCAAUAAUUCAUUUGUAUGCAAGGUGUGGGGUGAACAAUGCUAGGUAACCUAGUAGGUCUUAUCAAAUUAACCUAAGCAUGUCACAGUGAUUAACAUGGACAUUAUUAGGUAACAGAAUGUGAUCAAGGGCACAACUUGCCUUCUGCGAGCUCUUGCUCAGAAUCUUCAACUUGCGGUGCUUUGGGUUCCUCGGUCACUUGCUCGUCUACUCGCAACAACACAAACAACCAAUAUGAAGAAAAAGUAACAUCACACCGAGCAAUAAAACAUUUGCAUAAUAAUAUUCUACGCGUCGCAAUAAAUCCGUAGUUUCGUGAACUACUAAAUUUAGAGUUAGAAUGUAGGAUAUAUGGUUUUUUCUAAGUUCACUGAUUUAUUUUUUACUGAAAAUCAAUUUAUGCAUUUAUUCUUUUAUUCCAUAGAUUAAUUGGUUCGUGGCUUUUAUUUCUUGGAAAGUCAGGGGCUAAGCGGCAAGAUUUGGGACCCGCCUGCAGUUAUUUUCGACCUACCCCGAUUCCCCGAAAUGGAAGGGUCCCUUCUAGUAAAGUUGUAUAGCUGACAUCGCGCGUGGCGUCCUGACCGUUGGAUUGACAACCAACGGUCAAUAUUAGAUCAAACAUAUCAUGAACUGGUAUCCCUUUUUUAAUCGCAGCCUCAGAUCACGAUCCGUAAGUCAGGAACCCUCCAUCGCUUCCCACUACCCGAUCCGAGUCGUAUGACCAAGAUUUAAUUGACGUGAAAAGGUAUUAUGAUCCUAGCCACACGUUCAUUGAUUAACGACCUACGCAUCAUCUUCCUCUCCACAAAGCUCAUCCGGCAUCGCAGUGCCCAUCCACAUGGUGGCACCACACCGGUAAGGGCCUAACCUUGCUCUAGUGUACUAAACUAUACCACGUUUGGUGCUAGAUGGGGAAGAGGUCAUGAGAUACAACAUGAUAGACUUCAUACCUGAUAGACAUUUGGAUCUCCCCAAGAACCAUAACCACUAGAUCAAAUGUACAAAACAGAUUGUACCUCUAUUUAGAUUUGAUGCCAUCACGUUCGUUGGUGAAGUUCUGCGCUAAGGCAGCGACGGUCGAGGAAGCGAGCUCGUAUGUGGUGAGCUUCCCGUUGCUACAACCUCCCUCUAGAUCGGUCUAGGGUUUGAGGUGGGGAACUAAAGAUGUGUCUACGAACCUCAUGUUUAGCCAUCAACCCCCACCUCUCUAUUUAUAGGUUGUGCAAUAGGGCCCCACCAACCUCGUCUUGGGAUGGACGCAUCCGAUCAGGGAGUGAGGUCAAGGGGCCAGUUCGCCGUUGGACCAACUGGCGGAGAUCAAUUCCAACAUUCUCUCCCUUGAUCUCAUCUUAUACUUUCAACUUUAUACUUUUAAUUAUUUUCGUAUCCCAUCACAGAUUGGUGCAUAGAGCAUGCUUCGUCAUCACGGUUAAUCACUGAUAGACUUAACAGCUACAAUACACGUCUUUGUUCUAAAAUAGAUCCAUUGACUUUUGGCCCUUUAAUUGUCCGGAAAACAUAGGCUAUACCAUAAACCCAUGUCGACUGUGUGUUCUCUGAACGCACUGGGUGGCAAGCCUUUAGUAAGCGGAUCCACCAACACUUGUCUGUUACUUAUAUGUUCAAUACUUUUAAUAUGAUUUUGGACUUUCUCCUUUACAACACAUAACUUUGUGUCAAUGUGUUUGGCAGCACACUUGACUCGUCGCCAUAGGAGUGAACUAUUUGAAUGGUUACUGUUGUUGUCAACCAUUAUCAAUUUCGGAGCGAGAGACACUUCAUCGAGACCAAUUUCAUUUGAUCUUUAUGACAAGAACUUUUCACCAAUAGAUUGACAUCACUACUGCCAAGUGAGCGAGGGCCUCCAUGGCUUCUUCAAAUGAGGUGGGAUUGCCCUCCAUAUUAUAGACUUUGUAGUUUCUGAUUUCCUUUUCUUUAAGACCAUUUAGGCCUUAGCUAUUGACACUUCUUUCAUAUGGAACUAUUGUUGAUAUUUAUUGCUAAGAAGCAAAUGAGUUCUAUAGUCUCCUGUAUCAUAGGAUCCUUGUUUACUUUUUAUUUUAGGGACCAACAACAUGUGUUGUAUCAGUCAUAUAACGUCAACAUGUAUUGAGCAAUUUGUCGUUCUUGAAUCAUUAGAGUAGGAACAUAAUCCCACUU